This 253-nucleotide ribosomal RNA is filed under the name uncultured bacterium. RNAcentral's name for it is "partial 16S ribosomal RNA". It matches the Rfam family "Bacterial small subunit ribosomal RNA", at positions 524 to 776 of the family's 1533-position model. The record is from RNAcentral.
UACAGAGGGGGCAAGCGUUGUUCGGAAUUACUGGGCGUAAAGGGCGCGUAGGCGGCCUGUUAAGUGGAACGUGAAAUCCCUGGGCUCAACCCAGGAACUGCGUCCGAUACUGGCAGGCUUGAAUUCGGGAGAGGGAUGUGGAAUUCCAGGUGGAGCGGUGAAAUGCGUAGAUAUCUGGAGGAACACCGGUGGCGAAGGCGGCAUCCUGGACCGAUAUUGACGCUGAGGCGCGAAAGCCAGGGGAGCAAACGGG